This 433-nucleotide ribosomal RNA is filed under the name uncultured bacterium. RNAcentral describes it as "partial 16S ribosomal RNA". It matches the Rfam family "Bacterial small subunit ribosomal RNA", at positions 29 to 507 of the family's 1533-position model. The record is from RNAcentral.
AACGAACGCUGGCGGCAUGCCUAACACAUGCAAGUCGAACGAGACCUUCGGGUCUAGUGGCGCACGGGUGCGUAACGCGUGGGAACCUGCCCUUAGGUUCGGAAUAACUCCCCGAAAGGGGUGCUAAUACCGGAUAAUGUCUUCGGACCAAAGAUUUAUCGCCUUUGGAUGGGCCCGCGUUGGAUUCGCUAGUUGGUAGGGUAAAAGCCUACCAAGGCGACGAUCCAUAGCUGGUCUGAGAGGAUGAUCAGCCACACUGGGACUGAGACACGGCCCAGACUCCUACGGGAGGCAGCAGUGGGGAAUAUUGGACAAUGGGCGAAAGCCUGAUCCAGCAAUGCCGCGUGAGUGAUGAAGGCCUUAGGGUUGUAAAGCUCUUUUACCCGGGAUGAUAAUGACAGUACCGGGAGAAUAAGCGCCGGCUAACUCCGUG